RNAcentral lists this unclassified non-coding RNA (179 nucleotides) under Consotaella salsifontis. RNAcentral's name for it is "caulobacter sRNA CC2171". The record is from RNAcentral. Lineage: Bacteria; Pseudomonadati; Pseudomonadota; Alphaproteobacteria; Hyphomicrobiales; Aurantimonadaceae.
AACGUAAUGGAAGGAGGUGAUCCAAUGUCGAGUGAUUUCCAGAUGCCGGUUGGGUCGGAAUGUCUCAGCGGUUCGACGGAGCAGCCUCCGCGUUUCGUAUAGGACAUAAGAGCCCGGUAUAGGUCUCGCGACCGCCGGCAUAUGCGAAUUCACGGGGCCGCUCCCAUUGGGGGCGGCCU